UUUAGGAUUUUAAAUUUGGCAUUAUUAUUAAUUUAGGAAUUAGAUUUCCUUUCAAAUUAGGAAUUAGAUCUUACUUUCUACUUCGAUUUGUUUUAGGACUUUGGCUGUGGACUUGUGGUGCCUAUAAAAGGAAGCUUAGGACGUAUUUUUACUUACCGGAUUGAAGAACUUCAUAACUUGUUUAAGAAGAAAAAAAGAAAAGAAAAGAACAAGUAGAAAAGUGAAGAACAGGAACUUAGUAUCCAGAAAUCAGAAGCAUCAUGAAGUUAAGCAUAGAAGAAGCCAGCACAAUUCCUCUGGAUUCUUAUAAGGGAAUGAAGCAUUAUUUAGAGGAAUUACUUGAGAGAAAGAGUGUCAAGAGGGAGGAUGCACUAAAAUCAAUCAUCAAGGGCUUAACCUUUUACUCUAAC
Molecule: long non-coding RNA, 410 nt
Organism: Morus notabilis
Lineage: Eukaryota; Viridiplantae; Streptophyta; Magnoliopsida; Rosales; Moraceae
Exons: 3
Source: RefSeq, a predicted model, not a curated record